GGAGGAUAGCUCAGUUGGUAGGGUGCUUGCCUAGAACGCAGAUGCCCUGGGUUCAAUUCCCAGCACCA
Molecule: non-coding RNA, 68 nt
Organism: Neotoma lepida (desert woodrat)
Lineage: Eukaryota; Metazoa; Chordata; Mammalia; Rodentia; Cricetidae
Source: Rfam